CACCUAAUUUGCAUAAUUGGUCAUGUGAACGUAAUUGUGAUGGACGCUGUAGGAGAGAUAAAUAAUGUCGUGGGAGAGGCAAAAAGUAUUUGUUCGUUAUGGCAUUAUAACUCAAAUGGGGAGGCCACAAUCAGCCUGGUACCAGCAACACAACCAGAGCAGGAAGUCAAGCAGGACGUCAAUGAUGCUGUGCUUCAGGAGUGAGUUGCUGAGGUGCAGCAGUGGCCUGAAGCAGGGGAGGGAGAAGGCCGCCACCACCUCCCUCAGGAGCAGUCUGGUCUCCUGACGUUGACACUUGACCCCUCACCUCUGAACCCAUCCAGGGAAAUAUGAUUUGCCUGAUGACACUCCAGUGGAGAUUUCGGCGCAUUUGUUGCCAUGUUUCCUCACCUCCAUUUCUUACGGUCCUAGACUACGGCGACAUCAUCAUCAAUUCAGAAAUGUAUCUGAGGACCUCUUUACUGAGGAAUGUGGUUGUUCUACACAAUUGUUGUUUGUAUUUUCUAUGCUGCUGUGAUUUAUGUGUAAUUGUGGGUUGCAAAAGAGUCUUUUGUCUCAAUGGGACUGGUAAAAUAAAUUAAGUAAAGGUCUUAAUAAACAUUCAUUAAGCACUAA
Long non-coding RNA from Salvelinus fontinalis (brook trout), 615 nucleotides. RefSeq lists it as uncharacterized. NCBI's taxonomy places the organism in Eukaryota, Metazoa, Chordata, Actinopteri, Salmoniformes, Salmonidae. The record is from RefSeq and is a predicted model, not a curated record. The transcript has 3 exons.